Molecule: unclassified non-coding RNA, 253 nt
Filed under: uncultured Rhodobacterales bacterium
Lineage: Bacteria; Pseudomonadati; Pseudomonadota; Alphaproteobacteria; Rhodobacterales
Description: contains 16S-23S intergenic spacer region
Rfam family: Bacterial small subunit ribosomal RNA
Source: RNAcentral
UACGGAGGGUGCAAGCGUUAAUCGGAAUUACUGGGCGUAAAGCGCACGCAGGCGGUCUGUCAAGUCGGAUGUGAAAUCCCCGGGCUCAACCUGGGAACUGCAUCCGAAACUAUCAGUCUGGAGUUCGAGAGAGGUGAGUGGAAUUCCGAGUGUAGAGGUGAAAUUCGUAGAUAUUCGGAGGAACACCAGUGGCGAAGGCGACUCUCUGGUCUGUAACUGACGCUGAGGCGCGAAAGCGUGGGGAGCAAACAGG